This 73-nucleotide transfer RNA is filed under the name Thelenota ananas. Its description in RNAcentral is "tRNA-Leu". It matches the Rfam family "tRNA". Rfam says of the family: Transfer RNA (tRNA) molecules are approximately 80 nucleotides in length. Their secondary structure includes four short double-helical elements and three loops (D, anti-codon, and T loops). Lineage: Eukaryota; Metazoa; Echinodermata; Holothuroidea; Aspidochirotida; Stichopodidae. The record is from RNAcentral.
GUUUAGGUAGCAAAGAAAGUUAAUGCUAUAGAUUUAGGCUCUAUGACCACAGGUGCAAGUCCUUUCCUAAACU